Molecule: ribosomal RNA, 497 nt
Filed under: uncultured bacterium
Lineage: Bacteria
Description: partial 16S ribosomal RNA
Rfam family: Bacterial small subunit ribosomal RNA
Source: RNAcentral
GAUGAACGCUGGCGGGGUGCCUAAUACAUGCAAGUCGAGCGGACGGACGGGAAGCUUGCUUCUCUGAUGUUAGCGGCGGACGGGUGAGUAACACGUGGAUAACCUACCUAUAAGACUGGGAUAACUUCGGGAAACCGGAGCUAAUACCGGAUAAUAUUUUGAACCGCAUGGUUCAAAAGUGAAAGACGGUCUUGCUGUCACUUAUAGAUGGAUUCGCGCUGCAUUAGCUAGUUGGUAAGGUAACGGCUUACCAAGGCAACGAUGCAUAGCCGACCUGAGAGGGUGAUCGGCCACACUGGAACUGAGACACGGUCCAGACUCCUACGGGAGGCAGCAGUAGGGAAUCUUCCGCAAUGGGCGAAAGCCUGACGGAGCAACGCCGCGUGAGUGAUGAAGGUCUUCGGAUCGUAAAACUCUGUUAUUAGGGAAAAACAUAUGUGUAAGUAACUGUGCACAUCUUGACGGUACCUAAUCAGAAAGCCACGGCUAACUACGUG